RNAcentral lists this ribosomal RNA (252 nucleotides) under uncultured prokaryote. RNAcentral's name for it is "partial 16S ribosomal RNA". It matches the Rfam family "Bacterial small subunit ribosomal RNA", at positions 525 to 777 of the family's 1533-position model. The record is from RNAcentral.
ACGUAGGUGGCAAGCGUUGUCCGGAAUUAUUGGGCGUAAAGCGCGCGCAGGCGGCUAUGUAAGUCUGAUGUUGAAGCCCGGGGCUCAACCUCGGUUCGCAUUGGAAACUGUGUAGCUUGAGUGCAGAAGAGGAAGGCGGUAUUCCACGUGUAGCGGUGAAAUGCGUAGAGAUGUGGAGGAACACCAGUGGCGAAGGCGGCUUUCUGGACACAUAUUGACGCUGAGGUGCGAAAGCGUGGGGAGCAAACAGGA